UUCAUAAUAACUUAGCGAAUCGCAUUAGCCUUUGUGCUGGCGAUGGUACAUUCAAAAUUUUCUGCCCUAUCAAUUUGAUGGUAGGAUAGAGGCCUACCAUGGUUUUUACGGGUGACGGAGAAUUAGGGUUCGAUUCCGGAGAGGGGAGCCUGAGAGAUGGCUACCACUUCUAAGGAAGGCAGCAGGCGCGCAAAAUUACCCAAUCCUGAUACAGGGAGGUAGUGACAAGAAAUAACAAUACAGGUCCCAAUACGGGCCUUGUAAUUGGAAUGAGUACAAUUUAAACCCCUUAAUGAGUAACAAUUGGAGGGCAAGUCUGGUGCCAGCAGCCGCGGUAAUUCCAGCUCCAAUAGCAUAUAUUAAAUUUGUUGCAGUUAAAAGCUCGUAGUUGGAUCUCGGAACAGGGAAUAACGUGGUCUGCCGGUUGGUAUGUACUGUU
Molecule: ribosomal RNA, 439 nt
Filed under: uncultured eukaryote
Lineage: Eukaryota
Description: bacterial SSU rRNA
Rfam family: Eukaryotic small subunit ribosomal RNA
Source: RNAcentral